CUGCAACAGCCAGAAAAACACGCCCACACCCCUCCGCUGACCUCGCUCUGGCCGCACUGGCCACCUCCUAAAAUCUAACGGAUGGAGUUUCUUGUCAUUAUCUUCCUUGACCUCUGGGGCGUUUGACGCUACCGACUUCCUUCGACUUGACACCCUGUCCCGGCUUCUCCUCCUGCACCUUUGCCCUUCUUUUCUCGUCUCUUCAUCUUCUCCUCCCCUAAAUGUCGGUGAUCUCCAGGGUCUUUUCCUCACCCCCUUUUCAUUUCAAAUGCCGUUCCUGGUAAAACAUUCACAAAUCCACGCCUUCAACCCCAGAGCUCUGUCUCGGGUCCACACAUCUUUUGGCCUACACUGUCUCUGGGUGACUUCAUCCACACUCAUGGUUUUAGUUACUGCCUGCAAGCUGAUGACACUCAAACUCAUAGCACAGCCCAGAUGCCUUGCAAGCUUUAAUAAUGAAAAAAUAUAUACACACACAUUUAUAUAUAUAUAUAUAUAUGUUGUAUAUAUAUAUGCACACACAUUCGAAAGCCUAUUAGAUGUCACCUGGUUGUCCCAGAGACACCUUGAACUCCAAAAGUCAAAAGGUAUCAUUGUCUCCCCUCCAUCCUGUCUAAACUUUGGUCUUUUUUUCCCUGCUGUAGUGAAUGGCACUAUUCCCUCCCCACUUUUCCUUAAUACCUCCUGAAUACCAUCUCCAUUCCCACUGCACUAAGAAUUGAAGCUCAUUUCUUCCCCAGAUUGUUGAGAGUAUUUUCAAUGUUCCCCCAUCUCCACCCUGUGCCUUCUGUUAUCAGUUUAUCCUCUGUACUGCUGGAACAGUGUUUCUAAAAUGCAGAUUCGAUCAUGUCCCAUCUCUGCGAAAAGCCUAGCAUGGCUCCUGACGGCUUUGCAGGACAGUCUUUAAUCUCUCAGGGUAACUCUUGCUCAUCUUUAAGAUUUAACUCAAGUGUCACCUCCAGGAAGUUUUCCGAAAUGUCCCAGUCUGAUUUAAAAGAACUUCAAAUGUGCUGUCAAAAAAUAGUGUUUACUUCCCUCGGCCUGCCGCCCUGUGCCGAGUUACAGAGGAAAAGAAACACUAUUCUUGGCCUUGUGUACCUGCAGUCCCAGUGAGAAAAGCGUGACACCACUGAUUGGUUACCUUUGUGCCGGGCACUGUGUCAGGAGCUUUGCGCACACACAGGAUUACACAUGGAAGGCAGGAAGCAGAGUACUUACAAACAUGGACUCUGGAGCCCGGUUGCCUGGGUGCAGAUCCUGGCUUUGCCACUUCUUAGCUUCGUGACCUGGGGUAAGGUGCUUAACCUCUGUGUUGAGUUUCCUCAACGGUAACAUAGAAAAAAUAAUACUACCUACCUGUAAGGGAUGAAGUGAAGAUUAAAUAAAAGGAUCUAUGUAAAGUGCUUAGAAUAGUAAAGGCUCA
Molecule: long non-coding RNA, 1423 nt
Filed under: Equus asinus (donkey)
Lineage: Eukaryota; Metazoa; Chordata; Mammalia; Perissodactyla; Equidae
Description: lncRNA (ENSEASG00005025948.1)
Source: RNAcentral